This 553-nucleotide long non-coding RNA is filed under the name Homo sapiens (human). RNAcentral's name for it is "HSALNT0295078". The record is from RNAcentral. Lineage: Eukaryota; Metazoa; Chordata; Mammalia; Primates; Hominidae.
CUCAUUGGCCCCUUCCAAAGUAUGGGGAUACAGCAGGAAGUUGCCAUCUAUGAGCCAGAAGGGUGAACCUCACCCCAGAUGCUGAAUCUGCCUUGAUAUUGGACUUCCCAGCCUGCACAACUGACAAACUGGAAACACAGGUUAUAUCACCAAGGCUUUGACUGAAACAUCAUGUUUUCAGAUAUGACCAGAAGGCUUUAGGGGACUAAGGUUGGCUUUAUGGAACCAAUAAAGUACCAUCUUGGAAAAACUGGCUCUAGGGUUCCCAGACUUACAGAAACUAAACUUCCCACAUUAAAGGCCUGAUAGCUCACACUAUCCAGGAAAUAUCCUCUGCUACCAAGUCCCAACAGAUGAUUCAACUGGUCCUUAAUGAAUAAAAGGUGAUCAAACAAGAAAAGAGACUUAUACUGUUUGAAGGAAAGAUGAAUGUCUCUUCUUUCCUUAAACAAGAAGUAGUACUAACAAAGAUUCCUUGCUUGGCCAAACUUUAGUCAGAUGUCUAUCUUCCUUGCAAAAUCCAACUUUUUUUUUUUUAUGUCGUACAAUGUGA